UACAGAGACUGCAAGCGUUAUUCGGAUUCACUGGGCGUAAAGGGUGCGUAGGCGGCUCUGUAAGUCACUUGUGAAAUCUCUGAGCUUAACUCAGAACGGCCAAGUGAUACUGCAGUGCUAGAGUGUAGAAGGGGCAAUCGGAAUUCUUGGUGUAGCGGUGAAAUGCGUAGAUAUCAAGAGGAACACCUGAGGUGAAGACGGGUUGCUGGUCUAACACUGACGCUGAGGCGCGAAAGCCAGGGGAGCAAACGGG
Molecule: ribosomal RNA, 253 nt
Filed under: uncultured bacterium
Lineage: Bacteria
Description: partial 16S ribosomal RNA
Rfam family: Bacterial small subunit ribosomal RNA
Source: RNAcentral